Molecule: ribosomal RNA, 462 nt
Filed under: uncultured bacterium
Lineage: Bacteria
Description: partial 16S ribosomal RNA
Rfam family: Bacterial small subunit ribosomal RNA
Source: RNAcentral
GACGAACGCUGGCGGCGUGCUUAACACAUGCAAGUCGAGCGGAAAGGCCCUUCGGGGUCCUCGAGCGGCGAACGGGUGAGUAACACGUGAGUAACCUGCCCCAGACUUUGGGAUAACCCUCGGAAACGGGGGCUAAUACCGGAUACGACACAGCUUCGCAUGGGGUCUGUGUGGAAAGUUUUUCGGUUUGGGAUGGGCUCGCGGCCUAUGAGCUUGUUGGUGGGGUGAUGGCCUACCAAGGCGACGACGGGUAGCCGGCCUGAGAGGGCGACCGGCCACACUGGGACUGAGACACGGCCCAGACUCCUACGGGAGGCAGCAGUGGGGAAUAUUGCACAAUGGGCGGAAGCCUGAUGCAGCGACGCCGCGUGAGGGAUGACGGCCUUCGGGUUGUAAACCUCUUUCAGCAGGGACGAAGCGUAAGUGACGGUACCUGCAGAAGAAGCGCCGGCCAACUACGUG